RNAcentral lists this ribosomal RNA (513 nucleotides) under uncultured bacterium. RNAcentral describes it as "bacterial SSU rRNA". It matches the Rfam family "Bacterial small subunit ribosomal RNA", at positions 15 to 518 of the family's 1533-position model. The record is from RNAcentral.
GAUCCUGGCUUAGGAUGAACGCUAGCUACAGGCUUAACACAUGCAAGUCGAGGGGCAGCGAGAAGAAAGCUUGCUUCUUGUCGGCGACCGGCGCACGGGUGAGUAACGCGUAUCCAACCUUCCCCUUAGUAGGGCAUAGCCCGUAGAAAUGCGGAUUAAUACCCUAUGUUGUUCGAUGCGGACAUCUAAGUUGAACCAAAGGUUUACCGCUAAGGGAUGGGGAUGCGUCUGAUUAGGCAGCAGGCGGGGUAACGGCCCACCUGGCCGACGAUCAGUAGGGGUUCUGAGAGGAAGGUCCCCCACAUUGGAACUGAGACACGGUCCAAACUCCUACGGGAGGCAGCAGUGAGGAAUAUUGGUCAAUGGGCGCGAGCCUGAACCAGCCAAGUAGCGUGCAGGAAUGACGGCUCUAUGGGUUGUAAACUGCUUUUAUGCGGGGAUAAAGUGCGGCACGUGUGCCGUUUUGUAGGUACCGCAUGAAUAAGGACCGGCUAAUUCCGUGCCAGCCGCAGC